CCGCGUGAGGUGAUGACGGCCUUCGGGUUGUAAACCUCUUUUAUUAGGGAAGAAGGGAGCUUGCUCUUGACGGUACCUGCAGAAAAAGCACCGGCUAACUACGUGCCACCAGCCGCGGUAAUACGUACGGUGCAAGCGUUGUCCGGAAUUAUUGGGCGUAAAGAGCUCGUAGGCGGUUUGUCGCGUCUGCUGUGAAAACCCGAGGCUCAACCUCGGGCCUGCAGUGGGUACGGGCAGACUAAAGUGCGGUAAGGGAGAAUGGAAUUCCUGGUGUAGCGGUGGAAUGCGCACAUUUCAAGAGGAACACCGAUGGCGAAAGCUGUUCUCUGGGCCGUAACUGACGCUCAGGAGCGAAAGCGUGGGGAGCGAACAGGAUUAAAUACCCUGGUAGUCCACGCCGGAUACGUUGGGCGCUAGAUGUGGGGACCUUUCCACGGUUUCCGUGUCGCAACUAACGCAUUAAGCGCCCCGCCUGGGGAGUACGGCCGCAAGGCUAAGACUCAAAGGAAUUGACGGGGGCCCGCACAAGCGGCGGAGCAUGCGGAUUAAUUCGAUGCAACGCGAAGAACCUUACCAAGGCUUGACAUAUGCUAGAACGGGCCAGAAAUGGUC
RNAcentral lists this ribosomal RNA (612 nucleotides) under Microbacteriaceae bacterium So3Pt_219. RNAcentral's name for it is "bacterial SSU rRNA". It matches the Rfam family "Bacterial small subunit ribosomal RNA", at positions 397 to 1011 of the family's 1533-position model. Lineage: Bacteria; Bacillati; Actinomycetota; Actinomycetes; Micrococcales; Microbacteriaceae. The record is from RNAcentral.